Molecule: non-coding RNA, 255 nt
Organism: Hydra vulgaris (swiftwater hydra)
Lineage: Eukaryota; Metazoa; Cnidaria; Hydrozoa; Anthoathecata; Hydridae
Source: RefSeq, a predicted model, not a curated record
UGAAAUUUAAGUGAUGAUGUUAAAAAUUCAUCUAAUGAUAAUCCAUCACAAGUGAUAGCUAGACGGCACCGAUCUAGUACCAAGAAUUCUCCCAUGAAGUUUAAAAUGGCAUUGCAAAAAUUCCAGUUUUUUUUUCGAAAUGCAUUGUAAAUAGAAUAUAACUUUAAAAUAACAUUUCAUGAGACCAAUUGAUUUGUUACACAGCAUCAUAAAUCCAACUUUAUUAUGAUAAUGAAAUAUAUCUUGUAAAAUUUU